ACGGCGGACGGGUGAGUAACGCGUGGGUAACCUACCCUGUACACACGGAUAACAUACCGAAAGGUAAUGCUAAUACGGGAUAAUAUAUUUGAGAGGCAUCUCUUGAAUAUCAAAGGUGAGCCAGUACAGGAUGGACCCGCGUCUGAUUAGCUAGUUGGUAAGGUAACGGCUUACCAAGGCGACGAUCAGUAGCCGACCUAAGAGGGUGAUCGGCCACAUUGGAACUGAGACACGGUCCAA
Molecule: ribosomal RNA, 240 nt
Filed under: uncultured bacterium
Lineage: Bacteria
Description: partial 16S ribosomal RNA
Rfam family: Bacterial small subunit ribosomal RNA
Source: RNAcentral